AACGCACAUUGCGCCCCUUGGUAUUCCGAGGGGCAUGCCUGUUCGAGCGUCAUUUAACCUAUCAAGCCCUGCUUGGUGUUGGGUGCUGGCCCCCCCGGGGCCCGCCCGUAACUCGUUGGCGGUGGUUACCGGCUGAAAGCGUAGCAAAAUAUGCUAGAGUCCGGUGGCUGCCCGUCAGGAACCCACACAACCAAAAGUUUGACCUCGGAUCAGGUAGGGAUACCCGCUGAACUUAA
This 236-nucleotide unclassified non-coding RNA is filed under the name uncultured fungus. Its description in RNAcentral is "partial contains 5.8S ribosomal RNA, internal transcribed spacer 2, and large subunit ribosomal RNA". The stretch from base 1 to 52 matches the Rfam family "5.8S ribosomal RNA", at positions 103 to 154 of the family's 154-position model. The record is from RNAcentral. Lineage: Eukaryota; Fungi.